Molecule: ribosomal RNA, 301 nt
Filed under: uncultured bacterium
Lineage: Bacteria
Description: partial 16S ribosomal RNA
Rfam family: Bacterial small subunit ribosomal RNA
Source: RNAcentral
CAGUCGCCGCGGUAAUACGGAGGGUGCAAGCGUUAAUCGGAAUUACUGGGCGUAAAGCGCACGCAGGCGGUCUGACAAGUCAGAUGUGAAAUCCCCGGGCUUAACCUGGGAACUGCAUUUGAAACUGUCAGGCUGGAGUCUUGUAGAGGGGGGUGGAAUUCCAGGUGUAGCGGUGAAAUGCGUAGAGAUCUGGAGGAAUACCGGUGGCGAAGGCGGCCCCCUGGACAAAGACUGACGCUCAGGUGCGAAAGCGUGGGGAGCAAACAGGAUUAGAUACCCCUGAGUCCCUGUCUCUUAUACA